RNAcentral lists this transfer RNA (85 nucleotides) under Felis catus (domestic cat). It matches the Rfam family "tRNA". Rfam says of the family: Transfer RNA (tRNA) molecules are approximately 80 nucleotides in length. Their secondary structure includes four short double-helical elements and three loops (D, anti-codon, and T loops). The record is from Rfam by way of RNAcentral. Lineage: Eukaryota; Metazoa; Chordata; Mammalia; Carnivora; Felidae.
GCCUGGGUGGCUCAGUUGGUUGAGCGUCUGACUUUGACUCAGGCCAUGAUCUCCCGGUUCGUGAGUUCGAGCCCUGCGUCGGGCU